Molecule: ribosomal RNA, 929 nt
Filed under: Escherichia coli
Lineage: Bacteria; Pseudomonadati; Pseudomonadota; Gammaproteobacteria; Enterobacterales; Enterobacteriaceae
Description: partial 23S ribosomal RNA
Rfam family: Bacterial large subunit ribosomal RNA
Source: RNAcentral
GGGUUGUGAGGUUAAGCGACUAAGCGUACACGGUGGAUGCCCUGGCAGUCAGAGGCGAUGAAGGACGUGCUAAUCUGCGAUAAGCGUCGGUGAGGUGAUAUGAACCGUUAUAACCGGCGAUUUCCGAAUGGGGAAACCCAGUGUGUUUCGACACACUAUCAUUAACUGAAUCCAUAGGUUAAUGAGGCGAACCGGGGGAACUGAAACAUCUAAGUACCCCGAGGAAAAGAAAUCAACCGAGAUUCCCCCAGUAGCGGCGAGCGAACGGGGAGGAGCCCAGAGCCUGAAUCAGUGUGUGUGUUAGUGGAAGCGUCUGGAAAGGCGCGCGAUACAGGGUGACAGCCCCGUACACAAAAAUGCACAUAUUGUGAGCUCGAUGAGUAGGGCGGGACACGUGGUAUCCUGUCUGAAUAUGGGGGGACCAUCCUCCAAGGCUAAAUACUCCUGACUGACCGAUAGUGAACCAGUACCGUGAGGGAAAGGCGAAAAGAACCCCGGCGAGGGGAGUGAAAAAGAACCUGAAACCGUGUACGUACAAGCAGUGGGAGCCUCUUAAUGGGGUGACUGCGUACCUUUUGUAUAAUGGGUCAGCGACUUAUAUUCUGUAGCAAGGUUAACCGAAUAGGGGAGCCGAAGGGAAACCGAGUCUUAACUGGGCGUUAAGUUGCAGGGUAUAGACCCGAAACCCGGUGAUCUAGCCAUGGGCAGGUUGAAGGUUGGGUAACACUAACUGGAGGACCGAACCGACUAAUGUUGAAAAAUUAGCGGAUGACUUGUGGCUGGGGGUGAAAGGCCAAUCAAACCGGGAGAUAGCUGGUUCUCCCCGAAAGCUAUUUAGGUAGCGCCUCGUGAAUUCAUCUCCGGGGGUAGAGCACUGUUUCGGCAAGGGGGUCAUCCCGACUUACCAACCCGAUGCAAACUGCGAAUAC